UUCAAUAUAUUCUUUUGAAAUACUUAAUUGUUGAAAAAGGCCUCUCAGAGGUCCCUCUCUCCCCACUAAAAGGAAACAUAUCCCCCAGGGGCCAGCUUUGAACUCGCAAAUUGACUCAUUCAAAUCAUUAGACUAGAGCACUUAGCUAGUGUUAAGAUCUGUGCUAACCAAAUUGGAACACAGAGAUAAAUAAACUGUGGCUCUUGUCCUCAAAAUGGCAAUUAACCAGCAGGAGCAAUAGAUCUGAACUGAGAAUUACGAGAGAAUAUGAUAGAUGCUAGACAGUAAAGCCAGAAGGUCAGGGCCAGGUGAUUUUGCUCACCAUUUUAUCUCCAAGCACCUACAACCUGGCAGGCACUCAGUAAAUAGUGGCGGGGUGGAAACGUGAAAAGACGGAGACAGGAACAGUGCAUCGCAGGGCGGCAGAGGGGAGGUGACUAACUGAGGGAGGCGCGAUGGUGAGAAGACUGGAGUCACUCCAGGGAGGGAAUGACACCUGGUGUGGAUUGUGAUGUCGGAACACAGCAGACAGAUGGAAAGGAAAGAGCAUUUCUGAGGGAGGAACAGCAUGAACACAUACAACAUUUUAUCGAGCAGGAAGUAGCACCUGGGGGCCAGUGAUGAGAGCCAGAAGAUGAGAUCCACUUGCAGGCUCAACGCAUAAAUGCCCGUAAGUCUCAUGUUGGCAUCCUUUAGAGGGAGUUGGUGGUAGUGAAAGAUGGUCCAGUAAAUGAUGAAUUCUCCACCUGAGGAAGAAGUGGAGCAGAGACCAUCCCUCCUGGCGCUGGACCUUAAUCCUUCCUGCUGCACUAAUUGGCCAAGAUCUGGGGGCCGGGAACAAUCUGAACAGCACUUCAUGCUGGGUAGUCAUUGAAGAUGACUAUAUCUCAUACCCAAAUGCUAGCAGCUGCUCAGCUGAUAUCUGAAAAGGACCAUGUCUCCAUUGAAAACCUUUCUGAGGAAUCUCUCAUCUCCAGAGAAGAGCUGGUUUUUGAAGAGGAUGAUAUGACCAAAUCUACCAGGAGACCAAAGCGUCAAAGGCCCGAGCUGCUUCACCCCAUCCCCCAGGAGGACAGUAUCAGAAAUGCUGCCUCUCAGUCAGAAGAGACUACAGAACUCACUCCCAGGGCUGCAACCACCUCAGAGGGAAAACUGGCCAAGCUCGGCCAUGAAAUCGGGAAGAAUGUGGACAAAACAGUAAAAGAAACCAUGAGCUAUCUGAAAAACCUACUCCCUCAUGCCUAUGAAGUCAUAAGGCCCUAAUGAUAAUAAGGCCCAGUCCCUGCCAAAGCUGGUGUCUACGGCACCCAAACCCUCCUUGCCCUGACCACCAUCUCUCAGCUCCCCACGUCCCUUAUUAAAGCGUUGCAUCCCAGUCUGGCUCUGUGGUGGCUUUGUCGGGCCAGGAGGGAAGGCGGAGGCCCCCACUCCGCUAGGAUUCUUCCUGAGUUACCCCAUCGCUCUAAUUUUAAACCUCCCCUCCUCAGCUUACAACCUGUUCAAGUCUCCACGUCCCAAAAUAUCCUCUGUGAGGUCUUGACUCCCCUCAAGCUGCCCCUCCUCUUCAUCCACACUGCCUCCCUGCUCCCUCACCCCCUGCACCCGUCAUCCCCUGCAAUCUGCAUUUUCAUGCCCUCCAGCAACUGUUCCCCCCAACAUCACUGACAGCAACAAGCCCGGUGGCUAUUUCUGGUCCCUACUCCUCUCUUCAUGGUCUCUGCAGAACUGGACACGAUUACCCUUCCUAGAAAGUUUCCCCGCACUGACCUCCCAAUGUGCUGCACUCUACUGGUUCUCCAAGCCCCCCAUUUCCUUCCUGGCACAUUUUCUGACCAUGCACUCUAUGCUCCCAGGGUCCCAUCCUGUGCCCUCUCAUCUUCUCUCCACCUUCCUUCCUCUACAUCCCCAUUUGCCAAGACUUCAGCUUCACCUCAGGGUGGAUGGGGUCUACCCAUUUACCCACCACCACACAACCACC
RNA transcript from Neofelis nebulosa (Clouded leopard), 1978 nucleotides. It is a transcript of the gene named glycosylation-dependent cell adhesion molecule 1-like, with no coding region annotated. The record is from RefSeq and is a predicted model, not a curated record. Lineage: Eukaryota; Metazoa; Chordata; Mammalia; Carnivora; Felidae. The transcript has 4 exons.